Molecule: ribosomal RNA, 445 nt
Filed under: uncultured bacterium
Lineage: Bacteria
Description: bacterial SSU rRNA
Rfam family: Bacterial small subunit ribosomal RNA
Source: RNAcentral
CCCAGACUCCUACGGGAGGCAGCAGUGGGGAAUAUUGCACAAUGGGGGAAACCCUGAUGCAGCAACGCCGCGUGAGUGAAGAAGUAUUUCGGUAUGUAAAGCUCUAUCAGCAGGGAAGAAGAUGACGGUACCUGAGUAAGAAGCCCCGGCUAACUACGUGCCAGCAGCCGCGGUAAUACGUAGGGGGCAAGCGUUAUCCGGAUUUACUGGGUGUAAAGGGAGCGUAGACGGUGAGACAAGUCUGAAGUGAAAGCCCGGGGCUCAACCCCGGGACUGCUUUGGAAACUGCCUGACUGGAGUGCUGGAGAGGCAAGCGGAAUUCCUAGUGUAGCGGUGAAAUGCGUAGAUAUCAGGAGGAACACCGGCGGCGAAGGCGGCCUGCUGGACCGCGACUGACGUUGAGGCUCGAAAGCGUGGGGAGCGAACAGGAUUAGAUACCCCUGUA